This 255-nucleotide ribosomal RNA is filed under the name uncultured bacterium. RNAcentral's name for it is "partial 16S ribosomal RNA". It matches the Rfam family "Bacterial small subunit ribosomal RNA", at positions 524 to 777 of the family's 1533-position model. The record is from RNAcentral.
UACAGAGGGGGCAAGCGUUGUUCGGAAUUACUGGGCGUAAAGGGCGCGUAGGCGGCCUUCUAAGUCGAACGUGAAAUCCCCGGGCUCAACCCGGGAACUGCGUCCGAUACUGGAAGGCUUGAAUCCGGGAGAGGGAUGCGGAAUUCCAGGUGUAGCGGUGAAAUGCGUAGAUAUCUGGAGGAACACCGGGUGGCGAAGGCGGCAUCCUGGACCGGUAUUGACGCUGAGGCGCGAAAGCCAGGGGAGCAAAGCGGG